Homo sapiens (human) is the source of this 1734-nucleotide long non-coding RNA. NCBI's taxonomy places the organism in Eukaryota, Metazoa, Chordata, Mammalia, Primates, Hominidae. The record is from Ensembl.
UACCAGAGGCUUUACGUAUUUUGUGGUGCCAAACCAGUUGGGCAUGUGGUAAGAGAAGAAGCCAUUAUUCCGACAGACAGCCUAAUGGGGGAGACACAUAAAAGAUAUCCAAAAGGAUCAAAAGUUGUUUCUUCUUAAAAACUGGAAAAUCCUGAAUGUUUCAAGUUAAUCUAGAUAAGAGGCAGUCAGCACUGCACUUAGAGGUCCAAAAUGGAAUACCCAUCACUGUAACAGAAGAUAACCCUCACCACUUUACCUUGUCAACAAAUGUGACAUCCUGAACCAUCCCCAGUUCUUCAGGGAUAGGCUUGGCCACAGAAACUAUAAAUACAUUGACACCAAACUCUCUGGCCACAAUGCCUGCUUCCUCGAUGUCAUCAGAAGGCCAACCAUCAAUAAAUACCACCACCACUUUGGGGAUCCCUUUUCUUACUCCAGCAUCUACCGUGAAGAAUUUCUGAGCAGUAUGCUUCAAGGCUUUUCCUAAAUUUGAAAAAGAAGCAAACAAAUAGCCUUUACCACUGCUCAAACCACAUUUCUGUUUCCCUGUAGCAUUUGAUGCUGCAAAGUUUAAGAAUUAUAUAUAGAACUGGCAGUGGGGCGGGGCACACAAAAAAGAAUUAUAUAGAACCCAGUUCUGUAACAGAUGCAUCAGCUGGGAAAGUUUAAUUAUCUACCAGGCCUAUUUAUCUUCACAAGCCAUAUUAGUUCCCCCUCCACCUCCUAGAAGCCUCACAUUUGUUUACCCCACAUCAAUCGCCAGUUAGAAACACAAAACUGAUUCCCACUUCCAUGCAUGUGCUCUCUAUGUAGCCCUUUGGUGACUGAUUAGUACCUCUAAGAAGUCUCUCUUCAGAGUCAACGGUAGUGCUACUCAUUCUUUCUGCCACAUCUGCAUUCAUUAGAUAAGUCUGUUGAUUUUCACUUCUUUUUAGCAUUACAAAGAGAUACUUCUCCAAUGUUAUAUCUAGUCAAUCCAAUGUAUGAGAAUUCUAAAUCACCAUGCUUUAUAUUUUUUAAAAUAAGAAAUAUCAACACUUUGGUAUACUUCCAUUAUAAAUUGAAAAUUUAUCUCAGAUGAUCAAAUGCAGACCUAGCCAAGAUUUCAGUUCCAGGAGGAUUUCACAUCUGCUCAUAUAAAAUAGCAUAAUACUGUUUUACAUGUCUGAUCACUGAUAACCCUCUCCUAUGUUACAUCCCAGGUAUCAAAGUCUACUUACCUGUAUUGGAAUUACCCCCUCUGAAACCUACUUCCUUUAUGGCAAACAAAACAUCUUUGGCUGAUGUAAAGUUUUUCAAGUAAAAUUCUAUUUUGGGAUGUUCACUGAGUGGAAGAAAGAAAAUGUUAUUCAGGGAGAAUUAAAAAGAUGAGAAAAUUAAAGCCGUGGGGUUAAUUUGCCCAAACAACAUUCUACAACUCCCGAAGGACAGAAAACAGAAAAGUGAAUCCCUUCAGAAUACAGCAUUUUUAUCUUAAUUGAACCUGAUUAUUUCUGCUCCAGAUCUGUCCAGUGAGAUUUAUCAAGCAGCGGAUGCAUUUUUAGAAAGCACUGUUAAUAUUCUCAAGUUUUACACUGUCAACCUAACAAAGAAUCAGUUUUUACUAUAAAUGAUGCUAGGAAGAGACAAGCUCUUGGCAACAAGUAACAAGAUAACAUAAUACAACAUGUUAAUUUGUGAAUUUACUGUCGAUACUAAAUUGAGAUUAAUGUUAUUAAAUGCUAUUUUUCAAAC